UAGGGAAUCUUCGGCAAUGGACGGAAGUCUGACCGAGCAACGCCGCGUGAGUGAAGAAGGUUUUCGGAUCGUAAAGCUCUGUUGUAAGAGAAGAACGAGUGUGAGAGUGGAAAGUUCACACUGUGACGGUAUCUUACCAGAAAGGGACGGCCAGCUACGUGCCAGCAGCCGCGGUAAUACGUAGGUCCCGAGCGUUGUCCGGAUUUAUUGGGCGUAAAGCGAGCGCAGGCGGUUAGAUAAGUCUGAAGUUAAAGGCUGUGGCUUAACCAUAGUAGGCUUUGGAAACUGUUUAACUUGAGUGCAAGAGGGGAGAGUGGAAUUCCAUGUGUAGCGGUGAAAUGCGUAGAUAUAUGGAGGAACACCGGUGGCGAAAGCGGCUCUCUGGCUUGUAACUGACGCUGAGGCUCGAAAGCGUGGGGAGCAAACAGGAUUAGAUACCCUGGUAGUCCACGCUGUAAACGAUGAGUGCUAGGUGUUAGACCCUUUCCGGGGUUUAGUGCCGUAGCUAACGCAUUAAGCACUCCGCCUGGGGAGUACGACCGCAAGGUUG
This 550-nucleotide ribosomal RNA is filed under the name uncultured bacterium. Its description in RNAcentral is "bacterial SSU rRNA". It matches the Rfam family "Bacterial small subunit ribosomal RNA", at positions 355 to 896 of the family's 1533-position model. The record is from RNAcentral.